RNA transcript from Pygoscelis adeliae (Adelie penguin), 1875 nucleotides. It is a transcript of the gene named tetratricopeptide repeat protein 14 pseudogene, with no coding region annotated. The record is from RefSeq and is a predicted model, not a curated record. The transcript has 2 exons. Lineage: Eukaryota; Metazoa; Chordata; Aves; Sphenisciformes; Spheniscidae.
AUGUGGUUAAUUACAUUUUUUAGGUUGAAGAAGAAAAGGAAAGUAUCAACUUCCUCCUCCUCCUCCUCCUCCUCAUCAUCAUCAUCAAGUGAUUCUUCAUCAGAUGUAUCAAUUUCUUCUUCCUCUUCUUCCUCUGAUCACAAGAAACAUAGAAAAAAACGUCGGAAUAGAUCCGAGUCUGGCCACAGCUCCAAAAAAUGCUCAUCUAGAGCUUCUUCCCAUUAUAAAGAUCAGAUUAGGAAAGAGGAGUGGUAUUCGCCUCCGGCUGAUACCUCAGCUUCCUUUCUUAACCAAAAUUUUGAAGUGGAAAAACUGCUGGAAAGGCAGGACAGCUUAGUGUGUCCAAAAACAGAAGUAAGAGAGAAAGACAGACACUGUUCUUUUUCGAGGACUUCAGGUGAUGAUGAAGACACUUUUGGAGGUAGGUCUGAAGAUUCAAGAGAUUCUUACAGUAGCUCCAGAAUUCUGCCAAGUAGUAGCAAAACUGAAAAAUAUGGUAAAACUGAUAGAUUUUUCUCCAGUUGGAGGGGUUCUUCAGGUUCAUACCGUAAGUCAGAUGAUGAACCCAGGCUGCAUUAUUUUAGGAAAUUAGAAAGGGACGUAGAGGGGAGAAAAGAGCAGUUUAAAAGACAUGGCUCAGGUCAAGACAGGUGUCAUACGUCUCCAGCAGGGUCUGAUUAUUCUGGCAAGUCAGUGGGAAAGUACAGAUUGUAUUCUAGCACCUGCUUACGUGAAGGUGAUAAAAGUUACGAUAGUGAUAGGCAUGUGUUAAGCCAGCAUAAAAAUGAAAGCGAGUAUAAGAAUAGGAAAAGAAGCUAUGAGGAGACUAGUAAAACAAAGGAACCAGAGGAGGAAAUGUCUUUAAAUGGUACCGCACAAACAGAAAGUGGCAUUAAAAGAAACCUGCCCCAGAACUUAGUUAACAUAUUCAAUCAAAUAGCUGAAUUUGAGAGGGAAAAAGGAAGUAAGCAGAAGAAGCAGUAAAGUACCUAAGAAAAUGCUAUUCUGAUGAGCGUAGUUAAAUGAACUUUUAUCCGAGUAUCGAUCUCUUGAGGAAAUGCAUAUGAAGAGCGAUAGAAAGGCAGAAUUUGUUCUGUCUCGCAGAACGUCAAAGAAUUCUUAAAGAUGGCGUGGUGGAAAGAGAUGCAAGGAUAUCUUACAUAAAAUACCAGUUCCUAUUUAAAAUCUUAAGUUUCCUGUGCUUUUUUAACUUGGGAUGUUCUUGUACAGUAUGCUCUCUCUGAUGGGUUGAAAUCCUUUGAUACCCCUGGACUGUAGUUAGUUGUGGAACUCACAUCAAAUAUGCACUUUAACAACAGAUGGUUUUUGGUUGGGUUGGGUUUUUUUUUUUUUUGGUCCCCUGGGGUACUAUUGAGUUAUUUUUGUAUCAAACUUAACUUUAGCUAUAGAAAGGGGAUAACUGAGAGAAAGUCAGUCAUGUGCUGUCAAUGUAUAUAGCUCAUUUGAUCAUUAAAUUUUCUUAAUUUUUUCUUAAUUCUGUGUCUUGAUUCUUGUUAACGGCGCUGGGAUGUUUCAUACUGGUGCACUGGUUAUAUAUGCUGCUUAAGUGAACGGAACCCUCCAGUGUCUGUGAAGGCAAGUGUAUUACAUUCUUUAAACACAUCAAACACGUUCUCUAAGAAAUGUAUAAAAAAAAAAAACAAAACCAAAAACCACAACAGAAGUAGAAGAGAGAAUUUUAAAACAGCGUUUAUUGUCUAGGUAAGUUCAAGUGUGGGCCUUUGUUUUUUGUCUGGGUUUUUUUGUUGUUAGGUAUUUGCUUUACAAGUAGCUUGAAGGCAGUGGUUGCAUUGCUGUGGAAAAAGUUACGCUCUAUUUACAAUGAGUUCUCCAAAGAUGGUUGGCAGAACACGC